This 447-nucleotide ribosomal RNA is filed under the name uncultured bacterium. RNAcentral's name for it is "bacterial SSU rRNA". It matches the Rfam family "Bacterial small subunit ribosomal RNA", at positions 354 to 796 of the family's 1533-position model. The record is from RNAcentral.
GUCGGGAAUUUUGGGCAAUGGGCGAAAGCCUGACCCAGCAACGCCGCGUGAAGGAUGAAAUUUUUCGGAAUGUAAACUUCGCAAGAAUGGGAAGAAUAAGUUCAGGAUAAUACCCUGAAUGAUGACGGUACCAUUUGUAAGCUCCGGCUAACUCCGUGCCAGCAGCCGCGGUAAUACGGGGGGAGCAAGCGUUGUUCGGAUUUACUGGGCGUAAAGGGCGCGUAGGCGGCGUGGUAAGUCACUUGUGAAAUCUCCGGGCUUAACUCGGAACGGUCAAGUGAUACUGCUGUGCUAGAGUGCGGAAGGGGCAACUGGAAUUCUCGGUGUAGCGGUGAAAUGCGUAGAUAUCGAGAGGAACACCUGCGGCGAAGGCGGGUUGCUGGGCCGACACUGACGCUGAGGCGCGAAAGCUAGGGGAGCGAACGGGAUUAGAUACCCGAGUAGUCC